CUUGAUGGAGCCGAACCAGAGGGGCCUGUCCUCGGAGCGGCCCUGCCCGUAGGUGGCGAGCAGGGCCUGGGCCUC
Molecule: antisense RNA, 75 nt
Filed under: Sorangium cellulosum
Lineage: Bacteria; Pseudomonadati; Myxococcota; Polyangiales; Polyangiaceae
Description: ASpks TB sRNA
Rfam family: ASpks TB sRNA
Source: RNAcentral